This 2904-nucleotide ribosomal RNA is filed under the name Enterobacter roggenkampii. RNAcentral's name for it is "23S ribosomal RNA". It matches the Rfam family "Bacterial large subunit ribosomal RNA". Lineage: Bacteria; Pseudomonadati; Pseudomonadota; Gammaproteobacteria; Enterobacterales; Enterobacteriaceae. The record is from RNAcentral.
GGUUAAGCGACUAAGCGUACACGGUGGAUGCCCUGGCAGUCAGAGGCGAUGAAGGACGUGCUAAUCUGCGAAAAGCGCCGGCGAGGUGAUAUGAACCUUUGACCCGGCGAUGUCCGAAUGGGGAAACCCAGUGCAAUUCGUUGCACUAUCGUUAACUGAAUACAUAGGUUAACGAGGCGAACCGGGGGAACUGAAACAUCUAAGUACCCCGAGGAAAAGAAAUCAACCGAGAUUCCCCCAGUAGCGGCGAGCGAACGGGGAGCAGCCCAGAGUCUGAAUCAGCUUGUGUGUUAGUGGAAGCGUCUGGAAAGUCGCACGGUACAGGGUGACAGUCCCGUACACGAAAAUGCACAGGUUGUGAACUCGAAGAGUAGGGCGGGACACGUGGUAUCCUGUCUGAAUAUGGGGGGACCAUCCUCCAAGGCUAAAUACUCCUGACUGACCGAUAGUGAACCAGUACCGUGAGGGAAAGGCGAAAAGAACCCCGGCGAGGGGAGUGAAACAGAACCUGAAACCGUGUACGUACAAGCAGUGGGAGCACCUUCGUGGUGUGACUGCGUACCUUUUGUAUAAUGGGUCAGCGACUUAUAUUCUGUAGCAAGGUUAACCGUAUAGGGGAGCCGAAGGGAAACCGAGUCUUAACUGGGCGUUAAGUUGCAGGGUAUAGACCCGAAACCCGGUGAUCUAGCCAUGGGCAGGUUGAAGGUUGGGUAACACUAACUGGAGGACCGAACCGACUAAUGUUGAAAAAUUAGCGGAUGACUUGUGGCUGGGGGUGAAAGGCCAAUCAAACCGGGAGAUAGCUGGUUCUCCCCGAAAGCUAUUUAGGUAGCGCCUCGUGAACUCAUCUUCGGGGGUAGAGCACUGUUUCGGCUAGGGGGCCAUCCCGGCUUACCAACCCGAUGCAAACUACGAAUACCGAAGAAUGUUAUCACGGGAGACACACGGCGGGUGCUAACGUCCGUCGUGAAGAGGGAAACAACCCAGACCGCCAGCUAAGGUCCCAAAGUCAUGGUUAAGUGGGAAACGAUGUGGGAAGGCACAGACAGCCAGGAUGUUGGCUUAGAAGCAGCCAUCAUUUAAAGAAAGCGUAAUAGCUCACUGGUCGAGUCGGCCUGCGCGGAAGAUGUAACGGGGCUAAACCAUGCACCGAAGCUGCGGCAGCGACACUAUGUGUUGUUGGGUAGGGGAGCGUUCUGUAAGCCGUUGAAGGUGGCCUGUGAGGGUUGCUGGAGGUAUCAGAAGUGCGAAUGCUGACAUAAGUAACGAUAAAGCGGGUGAAAAGCCCGCUCGCCGGAAGACCAAGGGUUCCUGUCCAACGUUAAUCGGGGCAGGGUGAGUCGACCCCUAAGGCGAGGCCGAAAGGCGUAGUCGAUGGGAAACAGGUUAAUAUUCCUGUACUUGGUGUUACUGCGAAGGGGGGACGGAGAAGGCUAUGUUAGCCGGGCGACGGUUGUCCCGGUUUAAGCAUGUAGGCGGAGGUUCCAGGUAAAUCCGGUACCUUUUAACGCUGAGGUGUGAUGACGAGGCACUACGGUGCUGAAGUAACAAAUGCCCUGCUUCCAGGAAAAGCCUCUAAGCAUCAGGUAACAUCAAAUCGUACCCCAAACCGACACAGGUGGUCAGGUAGAGAAUACCAAGGCGCUUGAGAGAACUCGGGUGAAGGAACUAGGCAAAAUGGUGCCGUAACUUCGGGAGAAGGCACGCUGAUAUGUAGGUGAAGCCCCUGCGGGUGGAGCUGAAAUCAGUCGAAGAUACCAGCUGGCUGCAACUGUUUAUUAAAAACACAGCACUGUGCAAACACGAAAGUGGACGUAUACGGUGUGACGCCUGCCCGGUGCCGGAAGGUUAAUUGAUGGGGUUAGCGGCAACGCGAAGCUCUUGAUCGAAGCCCCGGUAAACGGCGGCCGUAACUAUAACGGUCCUAAGGUAGCGAAAUUCCUUGUCGGGUAAGUUCCGACCUGCACGAAUGGCGUAAUGAUGGCCAGGCUGUCUCCACCCGAGACUCAGUGAAAUUGAACUCGCUGUGAAGAUGCAGUGUACCCGCGGCAAGACGGAAAGACCCCGUGAACCUUUACUAUAGCUUGACACUGAACACUGGUCCUUGAUGUGUAGGAUAGGUGGGAGGCUUUGAAGCGUGGACGCCAGUCUGCGUGGAGCCGUCCUUGAAAUACCACCCUUUAAUGGCUGGUGUUCUAACGUAGACCCGUAAUCCGGGUUGCGGACAGUGUCUGGUGGGUAGUUUGACUGGGGCGGUCUCCUCCCAAAGAGUAACGGAGGAGCACGAAGGUUAGCUAAUCCUGGUCGGACAUCAGGAGGUUAGUGCAAUGGCAUAAGCUAGCUUGACUGCGAGAGUGACGGCUCGAGCAGGUGCGAAAGCAGGUCAUAGUGAUCCGGUGGUUCUGAAUGGAAGGGCCAUCGCUCAACGGAUAAAAGGUACUCCGGGGAUAACAGGCUGAUACCGCCCAAGAGUUCAUAUCGACGGCGGUGUUUGGCACCUCGAUGUCGGCUCAUCACAUCCUGGGGCUGAAGUAGGUCCCAAGGGUAUGGCUGUUCGCCAUUUAAAGUGGUACGCGAGCUGGGUUUAGAACGUCGUGAGACAGUUCGGUCCCUAUCUGCCGUGGGCGCUGGAGAAUUGAGGGGGGCUGCUCCUAGUACGAGAGGACCGGAGUGGACGCAUCACUGGUGUUCGGGUUGUCAUGCCAAUGGCACUGCCCGGUAGCUAAAUGCGGAAAAGAUAAGUGCUGAAAGCAUCUAAGCACGAAACUUGCCCCGAGAUGAGUUCUCCCUGAGACUUUAAGUCUCCUGAAGGAACGUUGAAGACGACGACGUUGAUAGGUCGGGUGUGUAAGCGCAGCGAUGCGUUGAGCUAACCGAUACUAAUGAACCGUGAGGCUUAACCUU